This 270-nucleotide ribosomal RNA is filed under the name uncultured archaeon. RNAcentral's name for it is "partial 16S ribosomal RNA". It matches the Rfam family "Archaeal small subunit ribosomal RNA", at positions 477 to 747 of the family's 1478-position model. The record is from RNAcentral.
CAGCACCUCAAGUGGUCAGGAUGAUUAUUGGGCCUAAAGCAUCCGUAGCCGGCGCUGUAAGUUUUCGGUUAAAUCUUUACGCUCAACGUACAGGCUGCCGGGAAUACUGCAGCGCUAGGGAGUGGGAGAGGUAGACGGUACUCGGUAGGAAGGGGUAAAAUCCUUUGAUCUAUUGAUGACCACCUGUGGCGAAGGCGGUCUACCAGAACACGUCCGACGGUGAGGGAUGAAAGCUGGGGGAGCAAAACGGAUUAGAUACCCGAGUAGUCC